UACAGAGGUCCCAAGCGUUGUUCGGAUUCAUUGGGCGUAAAGGGUGCGUAGGUGGCGCCGUAAGUCGGGUGUGAAAUUUCGGAGCUUAACUCCGAAACUGCAUUCGAUACUGCGGUGCUUGAGGACUGGAGAGGAGACUGGAAUUCAUGGUGUAGCAGUGAAAUGCGUAGAGAUCAUUAGGAAGAACACCGGUGGCGAAGGCGGCUCUCUGGAACGAUACUGACACUGAGACGCGAAAGCGUGGGUAGCGAACAGG
Molecule: ribosomal RNA, 256 nt
Filed under: uncultured bacterium
Lineage: Bacteria
Description: partial 16S ribosomal RNA
Rfam family: Bacterial small subunit ribosomal RNA
Source: RNAcentral